Molecule: RNA transcript, 4061 nt
Organism: Brachypodium distachyon (stiff brome)
Lineage: Eukaryota; Viridiplantae; Streptophyta; Magnoliopsida; Poales; Poaceae
Exons: 9
Source: RefSeq, a predicted model, not a curated record
ACACGCACGCACUGUUUCUCUUCUCGAUCGAGACCUCGGCCGCAUGGCCGCACGCGCUGCUCGUCAUCACGCACCGCCGCCGCAGGACGCUGCCUCCUCCGACCGCCGCCGCCUAGGUCGCCGUCGCGUAGAUCGCCCAUAUCCUCGCUCGCCAAUCGCCUCCACUCGCUGCCAACGACCCUGCGGCAUCGGUUGCCUGUCUUCCCCGCUCCCGUCACGAGCUGCCGCUGCCUUCAUUGAGAUCUCCUCCGCCAUCCUCUCCUCCUCGUGACCGAUCGAGGGGUUGUCCUCGCUGAGGCCGCCGCCGCACAAGGAGAGGCCGGUUGUCUAAGGCUCCAAGCUCAUGGAUCCGCGCACUUCAUUCCUCUCCCGUCCCCGUGCAACAACUUCUGCCAUCCCCAACGAAUCGGCUAAAUCUGGUGCAACAUAUGUCGUGAUGGUGUCACGGUAGAUGUCAUGAGAUGACUUAUCUUGGGGCCACUGGACGAAGGAGGAUCCGGAGGAGGGAGGACGUGAAGGGAAACACGCACGAAUACACAAGCACACACAGAUUUACCUAUGUUCGGAACCCUCUUGCCGAGAAGUUCACCCUUCAGCGCAACGAAGACGGGAAGUCUCCGGAUAAACGCUUUGGGAGACAACGCACGACCAUCGACCAUGAAGAUCCGGACUCAGAGGAUCACAUGCCGAUCGCCCAUGCCGGACCCCGUCGCACCGAUGUCGACUCGGAUGAGCCCGCCGCUGCUGAGGCGUCGGCUCCAGCUGCUGCUGAGGCGCCGGGCCCGGCUACCGCUGCGGCGCCGGCCUGUGAGAAACGUAUCGCCGAGAAGGAUCUUCCGCGAACUAUGAAGCGGAAGAAUACGCCUGUCGCGGACCCAAGCCGAAGCCCAAGACCGUUGGGGCGGCUCUGACGGCCACACAAUCUGAGACGUGCAUUGCGUCUGAGAUCCCGACGGCUCCAUCUCCCCGUACCGAGCCUACAAUUCAGGCUACGGGUGUUACCGAGACUGCUGCGGAUCCGACAUCUCCCGUCCGGGAUGUCGGCCCGAGCAUCGAUGCUACGAGCGUCGCCCAAGCCGGGACAUCCACAGCCGGGACCUCGGCAGUCGGGGCUGCUCCUUCCUCGACGGCAACCGAGACACAAACGGAGCCGUUCGUCACGGAGACCCCGCAGCAGUCGGCAACGGGGCCCCAAGAACCCCAAGAACCACAGACAACUCCGACACCGCCACCAUCAUCACCGCAGCCACAAGUUUCCCAACUUGCAGCUGCCCAAGCCAAGAAAACUAGGAGCUCCGCUAUCCCGGCGGGCCAGGCGCCUCCAAGUUCCUCGAGCUCACAGCCUGCCUGGAGCACCCAGGGAGUUCCCCUCAGGACGACCAACGGCAUAACUGGGGAUCACUGGGCCAGUUCGUAAUGGACUGGAACAGUCCCGAUAGUUAUGAGGUGAACUCCAGCAUCCUCCGGACGGUGUGGCAAAGCUCUCUGGUGGGACCCGUGCCUGCGGCGACUCCAGAGUCCGUGGCAGCCCGGAUGUUCCAGGCAAGGGUCGCCUUAUUCAAGUCUAGCCGAGCUGCAGAGACCUGCAUGAAUAAGCGCACCGCCACCUUCAAGAUUUUGCUAUCGAAGUACAAGAAGCUGGAGGCGGAGCACAAGGCUUUGGUAGCCGAUCGCCAGAGCCAGAUUAACCGGGGACAAUGCUCAAAUAUCUGAGCUCUUGAAGCGCGUUGCUGAAGUUCAAGAUGAUUCGGAGUGUGAUUGUACUGAGCGUCGUGAAGAAGAAGUUUGUAUCAACACAGGCCAAGGCAAGUGAUACCUUUGAUCAUCUAGAAUCCUAUAUUUUUGCAUAUGCUACUUUGUUCUACAAAUUAUAAGAAUGCAUGUGUAGGUCUUAUUCUCUAUAAAGUAUUUUCAAAAUGCGUUUGCAAUCUAUUAGUUAUGACCUAUGUAGUAUGCCUACAGGUUGUUUGUCAUGCCACCAAUUACCCUAAGCUAUUACUUGUAAGAUUUUACGAAGUGGUUGCUGCAUUAUUGUACCGGGAGGGACCCAAAACUAUCGAAGUAUUAAGUGCUCAUUUGAGCCGGCAUAUGUUUGGCAAUAAUAUUUUCGAAAUAAAACCCAAAAAUGUUUUUCACUGGGCGGAGUGGUAUGUCUGAGACCAUUUUUGGUUGUUGACAAGGGCAGCAUCCAGUUCGGCUCUGCAGCUGCUCAGGAAUUCGGUGGGGACCGCCGUCCAGUAUCAAAAAGUUCAAGUCUUUUCCAAUGGAACCCAAAAGCUUACCUGUACAACCACCUGCUAUUAUGGCUCUGGCUUAGUCGAGUAAGUAGCGGAAAACCCUUACUUUGGUAUCGUCAUCCGGAGAGGGGCCAAUGUGCUCAUAUGGGGCGGCCGGUGCCAGGAUUAAGUAUAGGGGGCUUCUAGUGAAAGACUUCAUCACAAUCUUUACCUGUUACGCACGCUUGUCGUUAGGCAACACUUUGGACUGAUUGUGUCUGGUGGGUAAAGUGUACAAACCUCUGCAGAGUGUCAAUCUAAUCGAUUAGCCAUGCCUCUGGUUACGGGCGAAUUGAGCUACUAAGUCUGGUCAAGAGGAGAUCUUCUAGUUUUGUUUUGAAAAACCAAAAACUAUUUUGACUCGAUGGUAUCCACAGAAUGAGUUUCUACUCGAUGGAAGUAUCCAUAGAAUGAGUCAGGGUUACUAUGUGAGCGUCCGUUUGGCCCAUAAUGCAUAGUAAGGGAAAGCUUUGUGAGUCAUCGAAGCACUGAUGGCAGAUCACAGAGUUAGGUCUUGUGGUGCAGAUUCCACUUGAUAUACUAGUUUUCAAAAACUAUUUCCUACAAAAUUCUAGAGUUAGAGUUUUCCAAAGAAAAAGUAUUAUGAUUAUUUCAAAAUCCAAAACUGGCUUUUUGCAAAAGAAAUCGUAGAAGCCUAUUUAGGACUUAUCCUUAAGCAGGUACUUGCAUUUCUCCUAACCACACAGGUAUCUACUUGCAAGUACAUUCAAUGCACUGACCUGCACCUAUCAUGUGCAGAUGUUGACGUAUGAAGAAAGGUUACGCAGGGUCGCCGGUCUAUACUCAACAAGCCUGUGGCGUUGAUGGACUCAUUGGUGUUCAAUUUGAUUUUCCGCUGUGUAACAAAAUAUGUACUCUGGAUUAUUGGUUAUAGUUAAUAAAAGACAUGUGUUUUUGGUAUUUCAUCUUGGACUGUGUGUACUAGCUAUUGGGGACUAGUACAGAAUACACAGAGAUUCCGGAUCCUUACGGGUCUGUGUGUACUAGCUAUCUUACCGUCACUUUCGUUCUUCAUCAGGACGAUCCCAUGAGGAGAAACGCCACCACCAGCACAAGGAUCAGUGCCAGCACCACCAUCAUGGGAGUCAGCAUUGUGGAAGCAACCAUGGAGGUAAUGGCAGCAGCAACAGCAGUGGACACCGUCAGCACCGCAGUGGAUCAACCUCAGAGAAGAAGGACUUGAGUCAAGUGGAAUGCUAUCAUUGCCACAAAUUGGGACACUGCUCAACACAGUGUCCGGAGAAGCAGCAAAGCAACAAGAACCAGGGAGACAAGAGGCCUAACGCCUUUGUGAAGGCCAAGCUGAACCAUGUUUCAGCAGAAGAGGCUUAUGAAUCACCGGACGUCGUAGUUGGUUAAUUCGCAAAUGAAGUAGUAACAAUGGAGAUUCACAGACUGGACAAGAAAAGCCAACCAAGAGAAGAAGAACUUCCAAUCCGACUACAAGGAAAUCAAGUUCGAAAAAGGACUCACAAGCUAAUGCCUCCAUGGAGAAUGCACUAGUUGCAGCAACGUAAUUGAGAGUGACAGUGGAAUAUUUUGAUAUUGUAGUUGAUCUGGGUUGUUUCUGCUGGUAGCAGUCUUUUGAUGUUGUAGUAGCUGUAAUCUGAAUGAUGGGCAGAGUGAACUGCUGAAUCUGUUUGGGAUGCAACUCUGGUACUUUAGAACUGUUGAAAAUACAAUUAUGGAUGAUAAUGCACUGUUGGGGCACACUAUUUGAAUACUGGUAUAUGUGAUAUUUUGGGGGCAGUUUACUGAAGUGCA